Molecule: ribosomal RNA, 450 nt
Filed under: uncultured bacterium
Lineage: Bacteria
Description: partial 16S ribosomal RNA
Rfam family: Bacterial small subunit ribosomal RNA
Source: RNAcentral
GUGGGGAAUAUUGGACAAUGGGGGGAACCCUGAUCCAGCCAUGCCGCGUGUGUGAAGAAGGCCUUUUGGUUGUAAAGCACUUUAAGCGAGGAGGAGGCUACCGAGAUUAAUACUCUUGGAUAGUGGACGUACUCGCAGAAUAAGCACCGGCUAACUCUGUGCCAGCAGCCGCGGUAAUACAGAGGGUGCAAGCGUUAAUCGGAUUUACUGGGCGUAAAGCGCGCGUAGGUGGCCAAUUAAGUCAAAUGUGAAAUCCCCGAGCUUAACUUGGGAAUUGCAUUCGAUACUGGUUGGCUAGAGUAUGGGAGAGGAUGGUAGAAUUCCAGGUGUAGCGGUGAAAUGCGUAGAGAUCUGGAGGAAUACCGAUGGCGAAGGCAGCCAUCUGGCCUAAUACUGACACUGAGGUGCGAAAGCAUGGGGAGCAAACAGGAUUAGAAACCCGAGUAGUCC